AAACCGCCCAGAGGUAAACGGGUGGAUCCGCAAAGUCGGCCCGCGGAAUUCAGCGCGGCGCGCAGAACUGGGCUGCUGUGGUUUGGGAUCCCUGGGACCCAGCCGCGGCGUCGUUCGGGACUCCGCCGCGUGCACUUUCCGUGGGCAGAGUGCCACAACCGGUUCUGAGGCGGCUAAAAGCUUGGAGGGUUGUCGGUGGGGGCGCUUGCGUCCCUACCAGCCCUUCUGUGACGAGUCGCCCCAGGACCGAGGGAACGCCGCGCGCUUCGAGGCCACCCUCCCCUCCUGGUGAGUUCGACUGGGAGAGACUGGGCAACCGUGUCUCCCGACCGCUCAUCUGUGAUCGGCGUGGGGCUGGCCGGGCGUGCAUUGUCAAGGUUGGUGGCAAGUAUGUCGGCAUUCCACCCGACCCGUCUUGAA
Molecule: ribosomal RNA, 420 nt
Filed under: Praticolella mexicana
Lineage: Eukaryota; Metazoa; Mollusca; Gastropoda; Stylommatophora; Polygyridae
Description: partial 28S ribosomal RNA
Source: RNAcentral